This 742-nucleotide ribosomal RNA is filed under the name Amplirhagada katerana. RNAcentral's name for it is "partial 16S ribosomal RNA". The stretch from base 306 to 544 matches the Rfam family "Archaeal large subunit ribosomal RNA", at positions 1786 to 2146 of the family's 2987-position model. Lineage: Eukaryota; Metazoa; Mollusca; Gastropoda; Stylommatophora; Camaenidae. The record is from RNAcentral.
CACGAAACCAAUCGAGCUACGAAGGGACGUAUUGUAGUACAAAAUAUGUAGCACAAUAAUAAUAGAUACCUUGGUAGGAGUGAUAGGCCCUCAAGUUUGGUGAUAUCUUGUUGACCUUGAAAACUAUAGAGUACAGUGUCAGUUUGCUAGUGAUAAGGCUGGUAAAAGUUACGUAAUUUGAUUAUUUAUACUAACAUAGUUUAACCGCUAGUUCUUUUAUAAAUUUAAAUAUUAGUAUCUGAUAUUAGUAGAUAAUAAAGGUGAAUAUUUAAUAACUUGACGUAUUUAUAUUGUAGGUAUUAGUAAUCAAGGCACUGCUGAUGAACUUGGCAAUAUUUCUUUCACCUGUUUAUCAAAAACGUCGCCAGUAGGUGGUACUAUUGGUUAAUUCUGCUCCAUGAAAAUUAAAUAGCCGCAGUACCCUGACUGUGCAAAGGUAGCAUAAUCAUUUGGCUUAUAAUUGAAGUCUGGUAUGAAUGAAUACAUGGGGGAAAGCUCUAUUGGCGGUGAAGGUUGAAUUUACUUAGUGGGUGCAAAUUCCCACAAUUAAAUAAAAGACGAGAAGACCCUUGAAAUUUUUACUAUUUGUCGACUCGAGUUUUUGUUGGGGCAACAUAGUAACAUUUAAACUUACAAUAAUGACAUGACAUAUUAUAGUUAGAAUAAAUUACUCUAGGGAUAACAGCGUAAUUCUCUGUGAGUUUGCGACCUCGAUGUUGGACUAGGAAGCAGAGGCUUAGAA